This 254-nucleotide ribosomal RNA is filed under the name uncultured bacterium. RNAcentral's name for it is "partial 16S ribosomal RNA". It matches the Rfam family "Bacterial small subunit ribosomal RNA", at positions 524 to 776 of the family's 1533-position model. The record is from RNAcentral.
UACGUAGGGGGCAAGCGUUGUCCGGAAUUAUUGGGCGUAAAGAGCUCGUAGGCGGUGUGUCACGUCGGCCGUGAAAACCUGCAGCUUAACUGUGGGCGUGCGGUCGAUACGGGCAUCACUGGAGUUCGGCAGGGGAGACUGGAAUUCCUGGUGUAGCGGUGAAAUGCGCAGAUAUCAGGAGGAACACCGGUGGCGAAGGCGGGUCUCUGGGCCGAUACUGACGCUGAGGAGCGAAAGCGUGGGGAGCAAACAGG